GAUGAAGAACGUAGCGAAAUGCGAUACGUAAUGUGAAUUGCAGAAUUCAGUGAAUCAUCGAAUCUUUGAACGCAUAUUGCGCUCUCUGGUAUUCCGGAGAGCAUGCUUGUUUGAGUAUCAGUAAACACCUCAACUUCCAUAUCUUUUUUCAAAUGGGAGUUGGACUUGAGUGAUCCCAACGCUUUUCCUCACCGAAAAGUGGCGGGUUACUUGAAAUGCAGGUGCAGCUGGACUUUUCUCUGAGCUAUAAGCAUAUCUAUUUAGUCUGCCUAAAAAACAGAUUAUUACCUUUGCUGCAGCUAACAUAAAGGAGAUUAGUUCUUGUGCUGACUGAUGCAGGAUUCACAAAGACAGGCUUCGGCCGACUUUGUAAACUCGAUCUCAAAUCAAGUAAGACUACCCGCUGAACUUAAGCAUAUCAAUAAGCGGAGGA
Molecule: unclassified non-coding RNA, 433 nt
Filed under: soil metagenome
Description: partial contains 5.8S ribosomal RNA, internal transcribed spacer 2, and large subunit ribosomal RNA
Rfam family: 5.8S ribosomal RNA (bases 1-120)
Source: RNAcentral